This 269-nucleotide ribosomal RNA is filed under the name Ophiothela mirabilis. RNAcentral describes it as "partial large subunit ribosomal RNA". It matches the Rfam family "Bacterial large subunit ribosomal RNA", at positions 1947 to 2368 of the family's 2925-position model. The record is from RNAcentral. Lineage: Eukaryota; Metazoa; Echinodermata; Ophiuroidea; Amphilepidida; Ophiotrichidae.
UGUGCAAAGGUAGCAAAAUCAAUUGUCCAUUAAUUGUGGACCGGAAUCAAUGGUUUGACGAUAAAAAAACUGUCUUUCUUUACUGGCUUUUAAAUUAUCUUAAGAGUGAAGAGACUCUUUUGUUAUAGCGGGACGAGAAGACCCCGUUGAGCUUUAACGAGUAUUAUUAGUUUUAUAAUCACUGGUUUUAGUUGGGGCAACUAUUUCUCUUUAUUAAACAGAAAUAAAACUAUCUCGAAUUGAAUCAAUUAUGACCCCUAAUUAUUAGG